AUUGAACGCUGGCGGCAUGCCUUACACAUGCAAGUCGAACGGCAGCACGGGAGCAAUCCUGGUGGCGAGUGGCGAACGGGUGAGUAAUAUAUCGGAACGUGCCCAGUCGCGGGGGAUAACGUAGCGAAAGCUACGCUAAUACCGCAUACGAUCUAUGGAUGAAAGCGGGGGAUCGCAAGACCUCGCGCGAUUGGAGCGGCCGAUAUCAGAUUAGGUAGUUGGUGAGGUAAAGGCUCACCAAGCCGACGAUCUGUAGCUGGUCUGAGAGGACGACCAGCCACACUGGGACUGAGACACGGCCCAGACUCCUACGGAGGCAGCAGUGGGGGAAUUUUUGGGACAAUGGGCGCAAGCCUGAUCCAGCAAUGCCGCGUGCAGGAUGAAGGCCUCGGUU
This 394-nucleotide ribosomal RNA is filed under the name uncultured bacterium. Its description in RNAcentral is "bacterial SSU rRNA". It matches the Rfam family "Bacterial small subunit ribosomal RNA", at positions 30 to 424 of the family's 1533-position model. The record is from RNAcentral.